GCGACCCCUCGGCCCAGCUUGAGGCCCGGCCUAGGACCGGAGGCGCGACCCCUCGGCCCACCUUGAGGCCCGGCCUAGGACUGGAGGCGCGACCCCUCGGCCCACCUUGAGGCCCGGCCUAGGACCGGAGGCGCGACCCCUGGGCCCACCUUGAGGCCCGGCCUAGGACUGGAGGCGCGACCCCUCGGCCCACCUUGAGGCCCGGCCUAGGACCGGAGGCGCGACCCCUGGGCCCACCUGGCGGCCCGGCCGGCACAGCCCGCCUCUCCUCUCCAGGCCAGGGCCCCACACCUUCCGCCUGACAGCCAGCCAAGCUCUUCAGUCCCCCGCCCUCCACCUGCCAGGGAGGCUCCGGGCGUUGUACCUGCCACCACGGGACACAUAUACUCACAGAAAUGAGUUAUUUAAAGAAGACGGUCCAGAUUCCACAGUCCAAAAAAAAAAGAGGUUUGCCCUGCUUCUGAAGGAGUCAGGGUAUGAAUGCAGAGGUCUUCCUGUUGGCUCACAUAUCAGAUCUUCAACGUCAACAUUAAAUGCGAGUGAUGCUUCCCCCUCUGUGAAUGUGGCUUUGGGUAUGGCUAAUCCACACCCUGCACUCUGGCCUUCAGAAGCCCAGGGAGAGAAGCCUCCCAGAAGCAACCUUCCAGAACCUUCUCCAUCCUCCCACCGACCUCCCCAGCCCCUGUCCUCUCUUUGAAUCUCGUUGUCAAGUUCUUCCCGCAGACACCUGGCUCCUUGAGGGGAGGUGCAGCUUUCAUCUGACCAUGCAGGCGUGCUUUGCAGUGGGUAGAGCAGUGCUUUCCUCCUCCCAGCUGCACACUGGAAUCACCUGGAGAGUCCAGAAACUUCCCGCCUCAGUGAAAGAACAUCAGUGUAUCAGCACAGCAAAUAUUCCAAAUGCCAGGCUGGAUUCCCUCCAAUUACCAGGACCUCCAGGCUUCUCCUCCUUUCAAGAACUUUCUGACCCUGGAUCCAGUCUAAAUGUUGGUUAUAAACUCACCUGACAUCCACAGGGCCCUUCCAAAAUACUGUCAAGGCUGACUGCUGGUGCCUGGAACCUGCACACCCUCCUGGGACUCUGCAUCUCUGCUGGGGCUGGUUUCUCCUCUGAGCCACCUUAAGGAAUCCCACCCUGACCCGGUCAGAGCUCACCAUGCCUCCCUCUCCUACUUGCUCAGCAUUUUGUGUCUAUCUAGACUGAAGCCUUUGCUUUCUCUCUGUGAUUAUGGUGAAAGUUCAGUUUGCUUUCCUAUCUCUAGAAUGUCAGCACGAAGGCAGAGGCAUGGUCUCCUGAGUUCCAUAACCCCAAAGCCUAACUCCCUGCCUGCCACACUGAGGGGCUUAGUAGACAUUGACUUACUAAAUUGAAUAGUUGAGUAAUAAUGCUCUUUGAAAUAAUUUGGAGUUAGAUCUUGAGCCUUGUGUGGCCAGAGGAUGGGUGAGGACACAUCAUAAAAACUAAAGGUAACUGAGCAUGCCAGUGGUUGGGGUGAGAAAUUUGCAUGGAGCACUCCAGACACAGAGGCAGCAAAACCCAAGUGCUGGGAAGUCAGAGUGAGAGAGUGAAGGGGCAGUGAGUGCUUCUUUAGGAGCUGGAUCAAAACCUAAGAUGAUCUGGCCACAUGGUGCAGACUGAGCACACACUUGGGAGAGAAAUGGGCCAGGAGGAGAGGAGAGAGGUUCACCACAGGACAGUGGAUGACUGGGAAUAGAAGCCCUCCCCAUGGUGGACCAAGAAGUCUGUGAAGCUGAGAGAAAGACAAAAGAAAUCACGACUUCUGUAGGUAGCUGGGAUGGAAACCUCAGGGGUGACAGGGUCUUUAAAGGAAAUCUCAAGGAAGGCAUCAUGUUCUGGGUGUGCUCCAGGGAUGCUGAGUAAGAAAAGACCAGCCUUUCUGUGUGUGUCUUUACUCUGCCACAAGGCACCUGGGCUCCUAAAUGACCAAUACACAUGUGCUAUACUGGUGCCAAGAAAGAAGGGUGUUUUGUAGGAAAGUCAAGGUGAGAGGAGGUGCCCAGGACUUGGCUCCUUUCUUUGAAGGGUGACGGUGUAAAUUCUCCAUGCUGGGGAUCCUACUGAUGGAUGGAGGCAUGUCGAUCUCAUCAUUUCACAGAGUGGGGAGCUAUGGCCACAACGUGCCUAUCACACAAGUCCAGCCUCACGUCAGCUGGACACCAGCUGUUCUGACACUUGUCAGCACAUGGGGCACCCGGAAGUUCAUGGUGUUCUGCAAAGAACGCCACAAAACAGUGAGCUCAACUUCUUGAAAGUCAUAAUGUGUUGCUAAGUCCGAUCCCAGAUCCUAAAAAUAAUAUGAGGUAGUGGCCAUUGAACAGAAAAAAUUUACAUCUUAAACUUGAAGAUAAGUACAAGUGUACCUUUUUCUACCACUGUUGUUCAGUUUUAUUAUAUUGACAAGCACCUCUGCCCACCCUGUGGGGUAAAACUGUUUGAAAGUGUUUAUGAAAGUUUUAUAUAAAUAUUGGUUGAUCAAAUGUACAAAAUAUGCAUGAUGGCACCAUAUUGUGUAUAAUAGUGACAAAUACAGUCUAUGUGGGUGGAGAAACAAGCUCGGUGUUGUGCAUGCGGCUGUGGUUUGUGUUCACACUUCUCCUUUAGAGUGUAGUAGACAGAACAUGCCUGAACUGCCUGGGGCUGAGGGGUCUCAGGCGCAGAGUGGCCCAGGAAUUCUGAGCAAGGACAGAAUGUUAGAGAGAAUAUCCUGAGCUGAGCAGAGAGGCCUGCCCAUGCUAGCUGGCAGCCACCUGCCUUCAGUGCUUCAUUCUUGGGGGACCUUGAGGCCAGUUCUUGAGUGGAUGAGUCCUGCCGCUACUGCUGCUGCCCACUUGGUAGCUCUGUCCUCAUCUGGGAAGAGCCACUGUGAACCCCAGAGACCUAGUGGUGCUAGGGGCUGAUGCAGGCAAAUGACUGGCUGCCCCUGGAUCUUAUGUGAAAACAAGAAUGCUGGACCAAAAGGUCUCUACAGGGCUCCAUGACUACCCAUGACCCGUAACUUCAGUGAGGAGCUAGUGGCCAGGAGGGGCUCAUGGUUGGACACUGGUAUUCCUCUACUCAGACCUUAAACCACAGGUUGCAAGAACAGGGAGGUCACAUGUCAGUGACCUCAUGCCUAAAUAGAUGCAUAGCACAGAGCAGAUUCCUGGAUAGCUUACACCCUACUUUCCCCAGUGCAUCGAUUAUGACUUCCUUUCUAGCAACUGUGAGUACAGCCGGGACUCAUCAAUCACACCUGUAACUUCCCAGCUGCAUUUCUCAGGGUCUCUGAAAGCAGGGCCUUCUCUGGUCUUUUUAAAUUACCCACAGACCUAGGACAGUCUUCUGCACAUACUUCUACAUUUUAAAGGCUUACUUUUAGUAUGUUUAUGUGUGUGAGAUGGGGAAUAUUGUAUUCAUGUGUGCAUGUAUAUGUCUGUGAGUACUGUGGUCUGUGUGUGUAACUGGGUAUGACUGUGUGUGUCAUAUGGAUACAGGGGACUAGAAUGAGGACAGCCAGGUGUCCAGGCUAUAAGAUCUAAGGAGGCACUUGCUCUCAGGGCCAACCCUGCCCUUGCGUGAGCCUGAGAGAGAGAGCCUCCUGGAAUUUUGCACCUUGAGUGCCUUCCUGCUUCACCCUAAUCCCCCCGGUUGUCUGUAUGUUUGGAUGUGAGUGUUGUACAUAUGCUGUGUAUGUGUGUGCAUGCAUGUGAGUGUGCAUGGGUGUGUGUCUGUAUGUCUCAGCAGCUGUCACUGGGCUUCCCAGUCCCUGUCAGCAGGCGAAGGAGGCCCCUUCAUUUCCUUGGGUCCUGCUUAUGCAGCACAGGCCACAGCAAAGGCUCCCUGGGUUGGGUCAGCCCUCACUCUAACUCAACAUGCCCUGGAAGUCACCACAGGGUCAUGGAAAGAGUCCUGGUGAUGAGAUGGAGUGUCUGCUCUGCCACAAGGGCUGUGGGACCAGGGUCGGGGCAUACCUCUCUGGGUCUCAGUUUCCUCACUGGUAAGAUGUGGCAACAGAAUCUCAUCUGUGAGCCCCCUCUAGCCUUGAACAACUCUGGAUCCAGGUAGACCAGCAUAAUGAAAGCCUAUGAAGCUUCUGAGAUGUGCGAGGCAUACAUUGUCCCAGGUACUCAAGUAACUCAAGUCUGGAAGCUGCGAGCCACAGAGAUCAAGCCUUCUCCAAAAAUUGGACUGCAAGGCAUGCCGUACAAACAGAGUGCUAGGAGACCUUGGGGAGGUGGGGAAGAGGAAGAGGAAUCAUGGACAGCUUCAUGGGGAGGUGGCUUUGGAGCUGGGAUGGGUGAGGACAGCUGGAAUGUGGGCAGCACGUGACCAAGUGCUUUGCAGACAUGGCAUGGCCCCCAGCCAGGCCCUGAGGAAAGGAGAGUCUCAGGACAGCAGCUAUGUCACUGUAAGCAGGACCCUUGAAAGCAGGUGCCACCUGCAAAAGGGGGAGCCCUGAGGCCCAGGCAGGCCUGUCACAGUGUGGGGCACCUGUCUAGACAGCCCCAUGGCCAGCAGUGGGGGUGGGCCAUGGGCCAUGGGGACCUUCCUGGUAUGGGGUACUGCCAUGUCCCCAGGGAAUAUGGGGGGCCCAGGAAGGUCCCCAAGGCUCGAAGGACCCAGGUCUUUUCAUACUGCCAAAGAGAUGUAAGGCCUACAGAGGGGAAAGUUUGCAUAUCUGUGAAGGCAUGGAGCCUAGGCAUUGGAAGUGUCCAGUAAGCAUUUUCAUUUGGCAGAAGUAUCUCCAUGGCACUUCUACCUACAGCCCUGCCACAUUUUGCCACAAACUGUCCAGCAGCCCUGAGAUGGAGCCCCAGUGUAGACCGUCAUGGAGCACACUGGCUCUGGAACAAUGAGGAGCAGACUGGAGAAAGCCAGAUGGGGUUUACCUGUCAACAGCCACAACAUAGUUGUGCUGGGGUGACUGUUCAAGAAAAAUGAACUUUGGUGCUCCUGCCGAAUGGGUUGUUAGUGUUCAGUCCUUUUCCUACCACUGAGUUGUUUUGUCUGAUCAUUCUUCCUCCUGGUUCUGCGGGUCUGCCUUCUUGAAAGGGAAGAGCAAGACUCCAGCUCCCUGCCCUGUAGAGGUGCCUUCUACCUUGCUCAGUGUUGAAGCAAAGGAGCAAAGCAAAGCUUAAGUCAGAGAUUUGGUGCUCAGCUAAUCACAGAGACUUUUAAAUGUCAACCAGGGUUUGCUAUCAGGCCAAAGCUGGAUUAUUAUUACCCAAAGUAGAAAAUUGUGAGACAGAGGCAGGUGGGGAGGGAGGGAGAGAGAAGAAAGCAGAAGGUGGAGGAUACGUGGAUUUAAUUUUUUAAAAAUAAAUAUAUGAUUCCGUGUCAAUUAAAAACAAGUACCCCAGGCAAGUCUUCCUGCAGUCCUGUCUUAGCCGCACACACAGCAUAACUGCAAACCCACUUGAGCUCAUUUUUGCUCAAAGACCAACUCUAUUAAACCCUUAGAAUGUUCUGGAUUUCAACACACAGUCCACAGACAGCCAUUCUAUCAAAAGCUUAGUGUUUUCCCUAUGACUGGGUUUUCUGGUAAGGUGAACUAAGGCAUCCUUUUCCAUUUCAGGCUGUGGUAACAGCAGAUAACAGCCGCAGAGGUCAUAGCCAGCACUUUCUAUGCGUCCCUUCAUUUAAUCCCAGUACUCCUAGGUGGUAGAUCUAUUAUUUUGUCCACAUGAAUUAUUGAAAAGUCUGUCCUAAAUUUUAAAUGGAACGAAGUACUGGGUUGCAAGUUACUGGUGGCUGUUUCACAGGAAAUACUACGACAAUGGGACUUUGGGAAUGUGUUCUGGAGACUCCACUCCUUGGUGACUACUACAUGGAGCACAGAAAAUUGUCUUGAGUGGCAGCUAUGUGCCAGGUGAGGAGACAGGUUUUACUCACAUGACUCCCCAGAAGCCCUGCAGCAUCCCCAUAUUUUAUAAAGGGGAAGUACAAGCCCAGAGAGACAUCUGACUUGACUAAGUUCACACAAAAACAGCAAGGUCUGGGCCAAGAUGGAAGCCCGGGCUUUGCCUUCUUCUUCUGCCUGCAGGGCAGGGGCUUUCAUCCUGGCUUCACGCUGAUUUCAAAAGCCUCUCAUUCUCUUGACACCUCAUGGCCCCUGAGUUUAUCCCAAGAAUAAUAAGUUCUACUGUCCUCCUGGAGAUGCCGAAGAAUCAAAACUGCAACACACAGAGGGCCUGGGUGUGCGCGAACACUGUAGUACACACCGAUGACAGCAGAUUAAGCCAUUUCUCUCUUAGGUGCGUCACCCAACCAGCUCCUGGACCCUUCUGCUGUGCUGCCCUGACAGUCACAAUAUGUCCUAGUGGACUAAUUAGCACUAACUACCCAUGUCACCCCAAGGCCAUUUAAGAAGACAAAUAAAAAAGACAAAACCAAUGAGUAUUGUGGCUGAAGAUGACGAAAAAAAGUUAAAAGCAGGGAGGAAUGAAUUAUUUUUUCUUUCUCAAUCUCUCCCUCUGCUUAAACCAAAGAGAGGUUUUCAUCUGAGAGCCCGGGAGCUAAGCAGCUACUUUCUACAUGAAAAAGUGAAAACAUUAAAAUAAAAUCCCUUUCUUUCAAGCUAACGUUCUAAAACUGAACCUCUGCAGAGGCUCCAAAAGAGAAAUGCCUUGCUUUUAAGCCCCUGAGUGAGAGGGAUCCUGAGGAAGUGGCAGAGGGGAUGAACCUAAGCUUUGGGACAUAACAACCGGCACCUCCAGUGGCCACCACUCCUAGCUAUGCUGCCUGUGGAUGGGGCCCCCAGUGCUGGCCCCUAACAGCAUGGGGAAGCCUCCCCAGCCACUCUGAAGCUGUUCGCAUCACAUCCAAGAUGAACCUAGGCAGGGAGGCUGAGUGUGCUUGGGAGAUGCCAAGUUAGGGAAGUAAGUUCCCCAGGGUCCUUCAACUUGUGGUGCCUGAGGAUAGCUGCUUUUUUUCCAGUGCAGAUGGAGACACGGCAGCCUUGGGGGGAUGUGUGAAAGUAAGGCCUCCCUCCCUCUGCCUUUCCAAGUGGCUGAUCAUCUCCUUCCUUCUCAUAGCUACUUCUAGGAGAGGCAUCCAGGCAGGAACCACUUCUCCAUUUCACAGAUGGGAAGACUGAGAACCAUACUGGAAAGGGGUGUAUUUUAAUUAAACUGGAGAGUGGGGAACACUGAUGAGGAAAGCAAGCUGAUAGACGGAAGGCUCUGCCUGUCACUGCCAGCACGGGCACUUGGGCCUUCUUAUCAAGGGUUCUGAUGGGAGUUUCCACUAGGAUUCCAGGUGUCGAUCAUCUAGUAGCCGAGUUCUGAUGAGCUGGACUUUGGGUGGUUGAGGUAGGGAGCAGUGGAAAGGGGAAUUGGAGUCUUAUCAACCUCUUUGAACACCAGUUCCUUCCCCUCUCUUCUAUAAAAAUGUCGUAGCAAUACCUGCCUGGCAGAGUUGUGAGAAUUAAAUGAGAUGAUGAAUACAUCUGCUCUCAGCACCACACCACACCUGUGGCAGUCCUCAGAGAGAAGAAUCACAGCUUUCAUUCAUUGAGAGCUCACUAAGUGCCAGGUAUGCUCAGCUCUUGUGCAGACGUUCUUUUUCUUUGGAUGUAAAUGUGACAUGGGCAGAGCAGGAGGAGCUGUGAGGCUGGCUUGGCUGAGCCACAGGGAUUGCUGGCAUCUUAUAUGGCAUUCAGGACUAUGGAGGGUCCACGGGAAGAAACACAGAAACAGAACCCAAGUAUCCUUCGGGGACUCUUGGACUUUCUUCCCCUUGAUCUUAGACAUGCCUCAGUAAACAGAUGCUGGUUUCUAUCGAGACUCAUUCCUGGGGAAGGACCCCCACCAGCCAAGCAAGGUAAAGCCCAGACUCAGUUACAUGAAUUACAGGUUUAAGACAGAAGCCUUCCUAUGAAUAUUUUUCUGGCCAGUGGCUUAUAUAAGAGAAAUUUGCUCAUUGUAUUUCUAUCUGGCCAACGAAGGGGUCUAGAGGGGCUUUCAGCAACCCAAACAGUCUUGUCAGCCCUAACUCUGGACCUAAGGAAAUAAUUAUGAAUCCUCAAGAUCCAUUUAAAAGUGUCAUUACUGUAGAUAAACAAAGACGAGUGGAUGCUUCUUCCUACUCCACCUCACUGCAGAGAUUCCAUCCAUCCCAGGGUCACUGACCACUGACUGGAUGAACUAGGAUUGGUGUGGCAGAGUGGAGUUUUCAGGAGCCAAGAGACUCCUGGAUUGUCAUGCUCUGUACUCCUUCCCCACGAAAGGAAUGUCUAGAACUCCUGCUGAAAGUAGUCAUUGCCUGCAUUUCCUAGGCAGAAUGUGUUAGCUCCCUCCCCAGAAGAACCUGGGCGAAGAAGGUGUUCCAAUCUGCAUUUGGAAAGAAUCCCUCCCGCAAAGAACUCUACACCCUCUAAGAGAAGAUAACGUGAGGGCAUAUUCUCCUCUCUUAGAGGGUGUUUUCAAUACUAAAUUCUAUCUCUGAAGAGAAUGAGGACCCGAAGGGGGGCAGUGCACCA
Homo sapiens (human) is the source of this 8477-nucleotide long non-coding RNA. Ensembl annotates it as PAX8 antisense RNA 1. Its record names the gene PAX8-AS1. The record is from Ensembl. Lineage: Eukaryota; Metazoa; Chordata; Mammalia; Primates; Hominidae.